UUGUUGGUGAGGUAAUGGCUCACCAAGGCGACGACGGGUAGCCGGCCUGAGAGGGCGACCGGCCACACUGGAACUGAGACACGGUCCAGACUCCUACGGGAGGCAGCAGUGGGGAAUAUUGCACAAUGGGCGCAAGCCUGAUGCAGCAACGCCGCGUGGGGGAUGAAGGCCUUCGGGUUGUAAACCCCUUUUAGUAGGGAAGAAGCGAAAGUGACGGUACCUACAGAAAAAGCGCCGGCUAACUACGUGCCAGCAGCCGCGGUAAUACGUAGGGCGCAAGCGUUGUCCGGAAUUAUUGGGCGUAAAGAGCUCGUAGGCGGUUUGUCGCGUCUGCUGUGAAAGCCCGAGGCUCAACCUCGGGUCUGCAGUGGGUACGGGCUAACUAGAGUGUGGUAGGGGAGACGGGAAUUCCUGGUGUAGCGGUGGAAUGCGCAGAUAUCAGGAGGAACACCAAUGGCGAAGGCAGGUCUCUGGGCCACAACUGACGCUGAGGAGCGAAAGCGUGGGGAGCGAACAGAAUUAGAUACCCUGGUAGUCCACGCCGUAAACGGUGGGCACUAGAUGUGGGGCUCUUUCCAUGAGUUCCGCGUCGCAGCUAACGCAUUAAGUGCCCCGCCUGGGGAGUACGGCCGCAAGGCUAAACUCAAAGGAAUUGACGGGGGCCCGCACAAGCGGCGGAGCAUGCGGAUUAAUUCGAUGCAACGCGAAGAACCUUACCAAGGCUUGACAUAUACGGUCUAUCCCUAGAGAUAGGGAGUGCUUCGGCGCCGUAUACAGUGGUGGCAUGGUUGUCGUCAGCUCGU
Molecule: ribosomal RNA, 803 nt
Filed under: uncultured bacterium
Lineage: Bacteria
Description: bacterial SSU rRNA
Rfam family: Bacterial small subunit ribosomal RNA
Source: RNAcentral